GACGAACGCUGGCGGCGUGCUUAACACAUGCAAGUCGAGCGGUAAGGCCCUUUCGGGGGUACGACGAGCGGCGAACGGGUGAGUAACACGUGGGUGACCUGCCCUCAGCUCUGGGAUAAGCCUGGGAAACCGGGUCUAAUACUGGAUAUGACUCCAUGACGCAUGUUGUGGGGUGGAAAGCCUUGUGCGGCUGAGGAUGGGCCCGCGGCCUAUCAGCUUGUUGGUGGGGUGAUGGCCUACCAAGGCGACGACGGGUAGCCGGCCUGAGAGGGCGACCGGCCACACUGGGACUGAGACACGGCCCAGACUCCUACGGGAGGCAGCAGUGGGGAAUCUUGCGCAAUGGGCGAAAGCCUGACGCAGCGACGCCGCGUGGGGAUGAAGGUCUUCGGAUUGUAAA
RNAcentral lists this ribosomal RNA (400 nucleotides) under uncultured bacterium. RNAcentral's name for it is "bacterial SSU rRNA". It matches the Rfam family "Bacterial small subunit ribosomal RNA", at positions 28 to 429 of the family's 1533-position model. The record is from RNAcentral.